This 2554-nucleotide ribosomal RNA is filed under the name Klebsiella pneumoniae. RNAcentral describes it as "bacterial LSU rRNA". It matches the Rfam family "Bacterial large subunit ribosomal RNA", at positions 14 to 2595 of the family's 2925-position model. The record is from RNAcentral. Lineage: Bacteria; Pseudomonadati; Pseudomonadota; Gammaproteobacteria; Enterobacterales; Enterobacteriaceae.
AGCGUACACGGUGGAUGCCCUGGCAGUCAGAGGCGAUGAAGGACGUGCUAAUCUGCGAAAAGCGUCGGUAAGGUGAUAUGAACCGUUACAGCCGGCGAUGUCCGAAUGGGGAAACCCAGUGCAAUUCGUUGCACUAUCGUUAACUGAAUACAUAGGUUAACGAGGCGAACCGGGGGAACUGAAACAUCUAAGUACCCCGAGGAAAAGAAAUCAACCGAGAUUCCCCCAGUAGCGGCGAGCGAACGGGGAGCAGCCCAGAGUCUGAAUCAGCUUGUGUGUUAGUGGAACGGUCUGGAAAGUCCGACGGUACAGGGUGAUAGUCCCGUACACCAAAAUGCACAGGCUGUGAACUCGAAGAGUAGGGCGGGACACGUGGUAUCCUGUCUGAAUAUGGGGGGACCAUCCUCCAAGGCUAAAUACUCCUGACUGACCGAUAGUGAACCAGUACCGUGAGGGAAAGGCGAAAAGAACCCCGGCGAGGGGAGUGAAAAAGAACCUGAAACCGUGUACGUACAAGCAGUGGGAGCACCUUCGGGUGUGACUGCGUACCUUUUGUAUAAUGGGUCAGCGACUUAUAUUCUGUAGCAAGGUUAACCGUAUAGGGGAGCCGCAGGGAAACCGAGUCUUAACUGGGCGUUAAGUUGCAGGGUAUAGACCCGAAACCCGGUGAUCUAGCCAUGGGCAGGUUGAAGGUUGGGUAACACUAACUGGAGGACCGAACCGACUAAUGUUGAAAAAUUAGCGGAUGACUUGUGGCUGGGGGUGAAAGGCCAAUCAAACCGGGAGAUAGCUGGUUCUCCCCGAAAGCUAUUUAGGUAGCGCCUCGUGAAUUCAUCUUCGGGGGUAGAGCACUGUUUCGGCUAGGGGGUCAUCCCGACUUACCAACCCGAUGCAAACUACGAAUACCGAAGAAUGUUAUCACGGGAGACACACGGCGGGUGCUAACGUCCGUCGUGAAGAGGGAAACAACCCAGACCGCCAGCUAAGGUCCCAAAGUCAUGGUUAAGUGGGAAACGAUGUGGGAAGGCACAGACAGCCAGGAUGUUGGCUUAGAAGCAGCCAUCAUUUAAAGAAAGCGUAAUAGCUCACUGGUCGAGUCGGCCUGCGCGGAAGAUGUAACGGGGCUAAACCAUGCACCGAAGCUGCGGCAGCGACACUAUGUGUUGUUGGGUAGGGGAGCGUUCUGUAAGCCUGCGAAGGUGACCUGUGAGGGUUGCUGGAGGUAUCAGAAGUGCGAAUGCUGACAUAAGUAACGAUAAAGCGGGUGAAAAGCCCGCUCGCCGGAAGACCAAGGGUUCCUGUCCAACGUUAAUCGGGGCAGGGUGAGUCGACCCCUAAGGCGAGGCCGAAAGGCGUAGUCGAUGGGAAACAGGUUAAUAUUCCUGUACUUGGUGUUACUGCGAAGGGGGGACGGAGAAGGCUAUGUUAGCCGGGCGACGGUUGUCCCGGUUUAAGCAUGUAGGCUGGUUAUCCAGGCAAAUCCGGAUAAUCAAGGCUGAGGUGUGAUGACGAGGCACUACGGUGCUGAAGUAACAAAUGCCCUGCUUCCAGGAAAAGCCUCUAAGCAUCAGGUAACAUCAAAUCGUACCCCAAACCGACACAGGUGGUCAGGUAGAGAAUACCAAGGCGCUUGAGAGAACUCGGGUGAAGGAACUAGGCAAAAUGGUGCCGUAACUUCGGGAGAAGGCACGCUGGUGUGUAGGUGAAGUCCCUGCGGAUGGAGCUGAGACCAGUCGAAGAUACCAGCUGGCUGCAACUGUUUAUUAAAAACACAGCACUGUGCAAACACGAAAGUGGACGUAUACGGUGUGACGCCUGCCCGGUGCCGGAAGGUUAAUUGAUGGGGUUAUCCGUAAGGAGAAGCUCUUGAUCGAAGCCCCGGUAAACGGCGGCCGUAACUAUAACGGUCCUAAGGUAGCGAAAUUCCUUGUCGGGUAAGUUCCGACCUGCACGAAUGGCGUAAUGAUGGCCAGGCUGUCUCCACCCGAGACUCAGUGAAAUUGAACUCGCUGUGAAGAUGCAGUGUACCCGCGGCAAGACGGAAAGACCCCGUGAACCUUUACUAUAGCUUGACACUGAACAUUGAGCCUUGAUGUGUAGGAUAGGUGGGAGGCUUUGAAGCGUGGACGCCAGUCUGCGUGGAGCCAACCUUGAAAUACCACCCUUUAAUGUUUGAUGUUCUAACGUUGGCCCCUUACCGGGGUUGCGGACAGUGUCUGGUGGGUAGUUUGACUGGGGCGGUCUCCUCCCAAAGCGUAACGGAGGAGCACGAAGGUUAGCUAAUCCUGGUCGGACAUCAGGAGGUUAGUGCAAUGGCAUAAGCUAGCUUGACUGCGAGCGUGACGGCGCGAGCAGGUGCGAAAGCAGGUCAUAGUGAUCCGGUGGUUCUGAAUGGAAGGGCCAUCGCUCAACGGAUAAAAGGUACUCCGGGGAUAACAGGCUGAUACCGCCCAAGAGUUCAUAUCGACGGCGGUGUUUGGCACCUCGAUGUCGGCUCAUCACAUCCUGGGGCUGAAGUAGGUCCCAAGGGUAUGGCUGUUCGCCAUUUAAAGUA